RNAcentral lists this unclassified non-coding RNA (439 nucleotides) under Hevea brasiliensis (rubber tree). Lineage: Eukaryota; Viridiplantae; Streptophyta; Magnoliopsida; Malpighiales; Euphorbiaceae. The record is from RNAcentral.
GCUAGUAAUAAAUUUCCAGCUCCAUUUUUCAAACCAAUUCGAUCCCUUCAUUUUUCUGGAAAAAUUGCCUUUAGCCAACUGCUGAGAGAUGUUGACUGAGCUAUAGCUGAAUGCAUGAGGAUGCAAUAUAUAGACGAUAGUAUACUCCAAAGUCCAAACUCCAUCUCUUUGCAGUGAGGAGUCUGUGGGAGAAGAACCCAAUAACUGCCUUAUUGGUUUCCAGUGUCCACCUAUAGAAAUAAAUGAUUCUUUCCCGCGUAACUUGCAACUUAACUGGUUCGCUUCAUUUUCUUCCACCCAAAUCUGAAAUGCUCAUGCCAUUUCCUAUGCAUGAGAAAUAAGAAUGUGUUUGGAUGAGGGGGAAAGAGGGAUAAACAGAUGUAAGGAAUGAUAAGUGUGAUAUGUAUCUUAUUUAGAAAAUGGGUGAAUUAAUGGAGGG